GCAUCAUGGGAAAAAGUAUAAGGGGGGAAAAAUGAACACAUUACUACCAAAAUGCUGUUAAAGAUUGGAGAAGAAAAUAAAUUUCAGAGAAUCUUUACAGGCAAGAGCAAAGUACAGAAGUUAGAUCUGUCCUGCUGAACCAAUUUAAAUGACCUUUAUGGGAACCUUUUAGUUUCUUUUACGGUACAGCGAUGAGCACCUCUAAAGCACAGGACUGACUAUGUUGGAGAACUUAGCUAUAUCAAGAAAUUAGGUCCACAAAAAAUUUAAAAUGGGAGGCUUAACAAAGAUAAUUUUACCAAUUCUUCAAAGAUUUUGACAAUAAAUGUUUGCUUCAGGGAGGUCAAAUGGAGAUAUAGUGACCCACAGAUACAACCUUAGUUACAAACCUGGACUGGUUCAUCGAAAUAAAAGUUGUUCCACAGCACACAGAUAUCAGAAAGCUGAAAUGCCGACUAUAGCAGUAACUUUGGUUAAACAGAAAUAAUAUACAAAAAAUGAUACCUGGUAGAUCCCCAAAAUCUUUGCCAAGCAAGUUGGACUCCCACUAGCUAUCGAUUCAGAUAAAUACUUAAAGUAAGCUGGUGCAAACUUGAUAAAUGACUCCAACUCUGUCUUUGUUACCUGCUUGAUGAUAAAUCGGUCAUCCAAGGUUUUGGCAAAGAAAACAUUGCUUUGCCACCCUGUGCACCCCAUUUUUUACAUCGGCUAAGCGGCCGUAUGAAGUCUAAUUAUCCAAGGUUUUGGCAAAGAAAACAUUGCUCUUGCCACCCUGUGCACCCCAUUUUUUACAUCGGCUAAGGGACCGUAUGAAGUCUAAUUCAUAGGGGAAACAAGACUUUCUUAAGGUCUCAAAAUGCUUUGCAUAAUAACAGGUGACUGUGUACUUAACCU
RNAcentral lists this long non-coding RNA (894 nucleotides) under Nicotiana benthamiana. Its description in RNAcentral is "long non-coding RNA (NBEN_LNC006094)". The record is from RNAcentral. Lineage: Eukaryota; Viridiplantae; Streptophyta; Magnoliopsida; Solanales; Solanaceae.